Long non-coding RNA from Trematomus bernacchii (emerald rockcod), 582 nucleotides. RefSeq lists it as uncharacterized. The transcript has 5 exons. The record is from RefSeq and is a predicted model, not a curated record. NCBI's taxonomy places the organism in Eukaryota, Metazoa, Chordata, Actinopteri, Perciformes, Nototheniidae.
GCUCCACGUUACAACAUGAACACGUGUUUCAGUCAAACACGAGCUUUAAUUUAAUGGUAGCCGCAAACACCUUUUUUAGUUUUCAUUUUGAAUUGCUCUUUAAGCACCCAUCGUAAGAAUCUGUCAGUUCUACGGAUUAGUUAGUUUUUCCUCAAUAAGAUGGAGGCAUAUUGACGAUGGAAAUCACAUGACGGCGCUCGCUCUGUGGGCUCAAAACAGACAUGCCCACAUCUUGACCUACAACCAUGUCCAAGUGGCAGCUCUGGGAUGGAGCUGCUGACGGUGCUGCCUCUGGGACUGCAGGUGGAGCCAGCAGAGGACAGCACUGAGCUGCUUUGACAAACACUCGUCUUCUCCCAGGAGCAGGACUGGACUAAGCCUGGAUAUGUGAUGGCGUCAGUCCACCUGCCGCCCCCCAUGGUCCAGCACUGAGGCUGUGAACAGGACUUAAACAUUGGGUUUAAAUGUCCUAAAGGAAUUGCCUACCUUAUCUACAGGAGAUGAUUGUCCUGUAUAAACAACUGUGAAAUGUCUGAAUGUUUGUAUCGUGUACACAUAUUCAAAUAUAUGCUCUAGCAUCAA